Molecule: non-coding RNA, 73 nt
Organism: Limulus polyphemus (Atlantic horseshoe crab)
Lineage: Eukaryota; Metazoa; Arthropoda; Merostomata; Xiphosura; Limulidae
Source: the annotation of a RefSeq genome assembly
GUUUCCGUAGUGUAGUGGUCAUCACGUGUGCCUCACACGUGCAAGGUCCCCGGUUCGAUCCCGGGCGGAAACA